RNAcentral lists this ribosomal RNA (443 nucleotides) under uncultured bacterium. Its description in RNAcentral is "partial 16S ribosomal RNA". It matches the Rfam family "Bacterial small subunit ribosomal RNA", at positions 338 to 795 of the family's 1533-position model. The record is from RNAcentral.
CCUACGGGUGGCAGCAGUGAGGGAUAUUGGACAAUGGAGGGAACCCUGAUCCAGCGACGCCGCGUGAGGGAAGAAGGAUUUCGGAAUGUAAAGCUCUGUUAGAAGGGAAGAAAGAAGUGAUGGUACCCGAGCAAGAAGCCACGGCUAACUACGGGCCAGCAGCCGCGGUAAUACGUAGGGGGCAAGCGUUCUCCGGAAUUACUGGGUGUAAAGGGAGCGUAGGUGGUUUUGUAAGUUAGGUGGGAAAGGCCGGGGCUCAACCCCGGGACUGCAUGGGAAACUGGUGAACUUGAGUGCAGGAGAGGUAAGCGGAAUUCCUAGUGUAGCGGUGAAAUGCUUAGAUAUUAGGAAGAACACCAGUGGCGAAGGCGGCUUACUGGACUGUAACUGACGCUGAGGCUCGAAAGCGUGGGGAGCGAACAGGAUUAGAUACCCUAGUAGUC